Molecule: ribosomal RNA, 245 nt
Filed under: uncultured Phocaeicola sp.
Lineage: Bacteria; Pseudomonadati; Bacteroidota; Bacteroidia; Bacteroidales; Bacteroidaceae
Description: partial 16S ribosomal RNA
Rfam family: Bacterial small subunit ribosomal RNA
Source: RNAcentral
UACGGAGGAUGCGAGCGUUAUCCGGAUUUAUUGGGUUUAAAGGGAGCGUAGAUUGGCUGUUAAGCCAGGUGUGAAAAUCGCGGGCCCAACCCGCGUCGUGCAUUUGGAACUGGCAGUCUUGAGUAGGUUCGGGGCAGGUGGAAUUCGUGGUGUAGCGGUGAAAUGCAUAGAUAUCACGAAGAACUCCGACAGCGUAGGCAUCCUGCCAGGCCCUAACUGACAUUGAAGCUCGAAGGUGCGGGUAU